This 72-nucleotide transfer RNA is filed under the name bacterium. RNAcentral describes it as "tRNA-Cys". It matches the Rfam family "tRNA". Rfam says of the family: Transfer RNA (tRNA) molecules are approximately 80 nucleotides in length. Their secondary structure includes four short double-helical elements and three loops (D, anti-codon, and T loops). The record is from RNAcentral. RNAcentral also lists the same sequence under 9 other names.
GGCGCCGUGGCCAAGUGGUAAGGCGGCAGACUGCAAAUCUGCUAUUCGUCGGUUCGAUUCCGACCGGCGCCU